Molecule: long non-coding RNA, 758 nt
Filed under: Mytilus galloprovincialis (Mediterranean mussel)
Lineage: Eukaryota; Metazoa; Mollusca; Bivalvia; Mytilida; Mytilidae
Source: RNAcentral
AACAAUAGCAUAAGCAAUUUAAAAAGGCUAGAACAGUUUGGGUUGAACUUUUUUGAAAGGAUAAAGAAACUUGAUCUUUCAAACAACCAAAUCAUAACAAUUUCAGAUAUAGUGCUAUAUGCGUUUUAGAAAAAUACAACUGGUCAAUAUUUCAAAUAAUGCAAUACAACGGAUUCCAAGGUCAUUACAAAUGCUGAAGCCAUGUCAGCUUGCCUUAGGACAAAUUAUUAUGAAAUGCAAAUGCGAGGAUCUUUGGCUGAAGAUAUGGUUACCGUUACAAUACCAAAGCUGUGCUGGAAACACACAAGUUUUAUGUGAACAUAAUGGACUACUUCGUUCUAUUACUGAAAUGGAUAAAGUAGAUCUGGGAUGUUCUACGACAAAUAACAAUGCUUCGUUGUUAAACAUUUCAAUAUGCUCAGCAUUUGUUGCAGUGAUCAUGAUUGCGUCUAUUAUAUAUAAGUUUCGGUCUGAAUUUUUUAUAUUAACAAGAUCUUUUUUCAAUUUCUUAAAGAAGCCUGUAACGCCAAAUUGUUUAAAACACGACAUAUAUAUUUCUGCAAAUGAAGAUGAUCCACAAGUGCGAAAAUGGUUGUUAACCUUUUUGGUUCCUUAUCUUGAGGAAAAAGGUUUUGAUGUGUUUUUAUUUUUCAGGGACAGUGCAUUCGGAGCUCCUCGGGAACAGGAGACGAUUGACGUCAUGUCUAAAAGUCGUAAUUUCAUAAUACUUCUUAGUGACAUUACCAAUGGCACUCAGG